CGAAUACGAACCGUGAAAGCGU
Molecule: small nuclear RNA, 22 nt
Filed under: Arabidopsis thaliana (thale cress)
Lineage: Eukaryota; Viridiplantae; Streptophyta; Magnoliopsida; Brassicales; Brassicaceae
Description: snRNA_12164
Source: RNAcentral